AUUAGGCCCUUUCGAAGCUGGGUAUAUCUCUUGCUGAACAUAUCUAGUCAAAGUAAGGCCUAUAGUAAUUUCUACAAUGGUCACUGGUGAAUAUUUUAAUUAUUUUCACAGUAUUACCCAAGUAGAAUACAUCU
Molecule: small nucleolar RNA, 134 nt
Organism: Leptinotarsa decemlineata (Colorado potato beetle)
Lineage: Eukaryota; Metazoa; Arthropoda; Insecta; Coleoptera; Chrysomelidae
Source: RefSeq, a predicted model, not a curated record